UACGUAGGGUGCAAGCGUUAUCCGGAAUUAUUGGGCGUAAAGAGCUCGUAGGCGGUUUGUCGCGUCUGCUGUGAAAACCGGAGGCUCAACCUCCGGCCUGCAGUGGGUACGGGCAGACUAGAGUGCGGUAGGGGAGAUUGGAAUUCCUGGUGUAGCGGUGGAAUGCGCAGAUAUCAGGAGGAACACCAAUGGCGAAGGCAGAUCUCUGGGCCGUAACUGACGCUGAGGAACGAAAGCUAGGGGAGCGAAUGGU
This 253-nucleotide ribosomal RNA is filed under the name uncultured bacterium. RNAcentral's name for it is "partial 16S ribosomal RNA". It matches the Rfam family "Bacterial small subunit ribosomal RNA", at positions 524 to 776 of the family's 1533-position model. The record is from RNAcentral.